GCCAGAUUUUAAUUUUCCUUUUUUUUUUUUUCUUUUCCAGCUCAUCUAGGUGCCAAGGAGACUGAAAACUGACCAGACACCAUCCGCAAAUUGUCGGACCAGGUUUUCGAAGCCAAAUACCACUUGGAAAUCUUACCUGCCACGUGUCCCAUAUCUGGCCGCUUAUCUGGAUCCACGUGUACGCAUUGUAGUGCUAGACGCGUUAGUUUCUCCGCUAUGUCCACCGGGAACGAGUCAUUCAGCCUCCUAUCCAUCCACCUCCUUAACCCCCCCCCCCCGGCACCACCGCCGCCACCGUCUAUCGCCGCUCUUGCUGUAUCUAUCAAUGACGUUCGUAUAAAAUCUCCUGUGCUCUUAUCGUAUUUGUAUUUCAGCGGCUCCUCACCGGAUAAUAACUCUAAUAUCAACACACCGAAAGCGUACACGUCGGAUUCUUGCGUCGCGAUUCCACUGGCUUGAAAUUCCGGCGACAUGUAGCCUCUCACACCUUCGAAUUGCAUAACUCCACUAUUAGAUCUCUUCAAUUGUUUCGAUUUAUCUUCAUCUUCCUCACUAACUUCAGUGAUUUCACUCUUCUCUUUCGAAAUUGAGCUCUUCUUUCUUAGGUUCUUACUCUCUUGCGGUUCUCCACACAGCUGUGCAGUACCAAAAUGACAAAUUUUGGCAUUGAAAUGUGGCUCUGUAACGAUAAUAC
This 694-nucleotide unclassified non-coding RNA is filed under the name Hevea brasiliensis (rubber tree). Lineage: Eukaryota; Viridiplantae; Streptophyta; Magnoliopsida; Malpighiales; Euphorbiaceae. The record is from RNAcentral.